This 202-nucleotide long non-coding RNA is filed under the name Mytilus galloprovincialis (Mediterranean mussel). Lineage: Eukaryota; Metazoa; Mollusca; Bivalvia; Mytilida; Mytilidae. The record is from RNAcentral.
GGAACAAUGAUCAAUGAGUGUCCAUGUUAGUUAAAAACGGAAAAAGGCAAAAUCUGAUGUGAAUUGAGGAUCAAAGCAUGAAAGAAACUACAGUAAGAAGGCAUUUUUAAUGUUAUUUGAUGCAACAUUAUAUUAUAUUAUCGCCAUUCGGAAUAUCUGUCAGAUUCGUAAAUUAUGACCUCGUGAGCAAAAAACAAAAAAA